This 670-nucleotide ribosomal RNA is filed under the name uncultured fungus. RNAcentral's name for it is "eukaryotic LSU rRNA". The stretch from base 253 to 406 matches the Rfam family "5.8S ribosomal RNA". The record is from RNAcentral. Lineage: Eukaryota; Fungi.
UACUGACGAAAUGGGUGGCAAGGCUGUCGCUGGCUCGAAUGAGCAUGUGCACGUCUUUUGCUGCUUGCUUCAUUCUCUUCUCCACCUGUGCACUCUUUGUAGACACUCGGGAUGGGAGAGAGGUUGGCAUUGAUUGUUGACCUCUCUUGAUAAUUGAAAAGUCUGAGUGUUUAUGUAUUUUUUGACAUACACAAUUGAAUGUCUAUANAAUGAAAUUGUAGGCUUUUGUCAGCCUUUUAAAUGAUAAAAUACAACUUUCAACAACGGAUCUCUUGGCUCUCGCAUCGAUGAAGAACGCAGCGAAAUGCGAUAAGUAAUGUGAAUUGCANAAUUCANUGAAUCAUCGAAUCUUUGAACGCAUCUUGCGCUCCUUGGUAUUCCGAGGAGCAUGCCUGUUUGAGUGUCAUUAAAUAUCUCAAAAAACUUGUGCUUUUUUGGCACAAGACUUUUGGACAUUGGGAGUUGCCGGCUGCUGAUAUACAGUGGUGGGCUCUUCUGAAAAGCAUUAGUCGAGGAGCUUUGCACUCUAUUGGUGUGAUAGACUAUCUAUGCCAGGAGAUGCUCCAUGAUCCUCUGCUAUCUAACUGUCUUUAUGAGACAAAUAUGAUAAACUUGGCCUCAAAUCAGGUAGGACUACCCGCUGAACUUAAGCAUAUCAAUAAGCGGANGA